RNAcentral lists this ribosomal RNA (372 nucleotides) under uncultured bacterium. Its description in RNAcentral is "bacterial SSU rRNA". It matches the Rfam family "Bacterial small subunit ribosomal RNA", at positions 527 to 898 of the family's 1533-position model. The record is from RNAcentral.
GAACCGUGCGAACGUUGUUCGGAAUCACUGGGCAUAAAGGGCGCGUAGGCGGGCUACCAAGUCUGUGGUGAAAUCCUCCGGCUCAACCGGAGAACUGCCGUGGAUACUGGGAGCCUCGAGGGAGAUAGGGGCGUGCGGAACUGAUGGUGGAGCGGUGAAAUGCGUUGAUAUCAUCAGGAACUCCGGUGGCGAAGGCGGCACGCUGGAUCUCAUCUGACGCUGAUGCGCGAAAGCCAGGGGAGCAAACGGGAUUAGAUACCCCGGUAGUCCUGGCCCUAAACGUUGGGUACUAGGUAGUAGGCCAGACAUGGGCUUACUGCCGGAGCAAAUGUGUUAAGUACCCCGCCUGGGGAGUAUGGUCGCAAGGCUGAA